CCGGCCCGGCUCUAUACACACACGUGGGCAGGAUGAAAAUUCUAAGGCGCUUGAGAGAACUCAGGAGAAGGAACUCGGCAAAUUGACACCGUAACUUCGGAAGAAGGUGUGCCCUGGUAGGUUGUAGCCGUACAGGCGAAGGCCGAAGGGGUUGCAAAAAAUCGGUGGCUGCGACUGUUUAAUAAAAACACAGCACUCUGCAAACACGAUGAGUGGACGUAUAGGGUGUGACGCCUGCCCGGUGCCGGAAGGUUAAAUGAUGGGGUGCGAGCUCUUGAUUGAAGCCCCGGUAAACGGCGGCCGUAACAAUAACGGUCCUAAGGUAGCGAAAUUCCUUGUCGGGUAAGUUCCGACCUGCACGAAUGGCGUAACGAUGGCCACACUGUCUCCUCCUGAGACUCAGCGAAGUUGAAAUGUUUGUGAUGAUGCAAUCUACCCGCGGCUAGACGGAAAGACCCCGUGCACCUUUACUGUAGCUUUGCAUUGGACUGUGAUGGGAUCUGUGUAGGAUAGGUGGGAGGCUUUGAAGUGGGGGCGCUAGCUCUCAUGGAGCCGACGUUGAAAUACCACCCUGAUGUCAUUGCGGUUCUAACCUUGGCCCCUAUAGCGGGGUUGGGGACAGUGCAUGGUAGGCAGUUUGACUGGGGCGGUCUCCUCCCAAAGAGUAACGGAGGAGCUCGAAGGUACGCUAGGUACGGUCGGACAUCGUGCUGAUAGUGCAAUGGCACAAGCGUGCUUGACUGCGAGACUGACAGUCGAGCAGGUGCGAAAGCAGGACAUAGUGAUCCGGUGGUUCUGAAUGGAAGGGCCAUCGCUCAACGGAUAAAAGGUGCGCCGGGGAUAACAGGCUGAUUCCUCCCAAGAGUUCAUAUCGACGGGGGAGUUUGGCACCUCGAUGUCGGCUCAUCACAUCCUGGGGCUGUAGCCGGUCCCAAGGGUAUGGCUGUUCGCCAUUUAAAGUGGUACGUGAGCUGGGUUUAAAACGUCGUGAGACAGUUUGGUCCCUAUCUGCCGUGGGCGUUGGACGUUUGAGGGGGGCUGCUCCUAGUACGAGAGGACCGGAGUGGACGAAUCUCUGGUGUACCGGUUAUCACGCCAGUGGUAUUGCCGGGUAGCUAAAUUCGGAAGAGAUAAGCGCUGAAAGCAUCUAAGCGCGAAACUUGCCUCAAGAUGAGACGUCCCGUGAUGUAAGUCACCUAAAGGGUCGCGGUAGACCACCGCGUUGAUAGGUCGGGUGUGGAAGCGCAGUAAUGCGUUAAGCUAACCGAUACUAAUUGCCCGUGCGACUUGAUCCU
RNAcentral lists this ribosomal RNA (1295 nucleotides) under metagenome. RNAcentral describes it as "bacterial LSU rRNA". It matches the Rfam family "Bacterial large subunit ribosomal RNA", at positions 1638 to 2925 of the family's 2925-position model. The record is from RNAcentral.